This 69-nucleotide antisense RNA is filed under the name Streptomyces bungoensis. RNAcentral describes it as "ASpks TB sRNA". It matches the Rfam family "ASpks TB sRNA". The record is from Rfam by way of RNAcentral. Lineage: Bacteria; Bacillati; Actinomycetota; Actinomycetes; Kitasatosporales; Streptomycetaceae.
CUUCAAGGAGCCCAGCCACAGGGGGCGUUCGCGGUCCUGUCCGUAGGUGGCGAGCAGCGCCUGGGCCUC